CCUACGGGUGGCUGCAGUGGGGAAUAUUGGACAAUGGGGGGAACCCUGAUCCAGCCAUGCCGCGUGUGUGAAGAAGGCCCUCGGGUUGUAAAGCACUUUCAGUGAGGAAGAACGCCUGGUGGUUAAUACCCAUCAGGAAAGACAUCACUCACAGAAGAAGCACCGGCUAACUCCGUGCCAGCAGCCGCGGUAAUACGGAGGGUGCGAGCGUUAAUCGGAAUUACUGGGCGUAAAGCGCGCGUAGGUGGCUUGAUAAGCCGGUUGUGAAAGCCCCGGGCCCAACCUGGGAACGGCAUCCGGAACUGUCAAGCUAGAGUGCAGGAGAGGAAGGUAGAAUUCCCGGUGUAGCGGUGAAAUGCGUAGAGAUCGGGAGGAAUACCAGUGGCGAAGGCGGCCUUCUGGACUGACACUGACACUGAGGUGCGAAAGCGUGGGUAGCAAACAGGAUUAGAUACCCCGGUAGUC
RNAcentral lists this ribosomal RNA (465 nucleotides) under Vreelandella stevensii. RNAcentral's name for it is "partial 16S ribosomal RNA". It matches the Rfam family "Bacterial small subunit ribosomal RNA", at positions 338 to 795 of the family's 1533-position model. The record is from RNAcentral. Lineage: Bacteria; Pseudomonadati; Pseudomonadota; Gammaproteobacteria; Oceanospirillales; Halomonadaceae.